RNAcentral lists this ribosomal RNA (484 nucleotides) under uncultured bacterium. RNAcentral describes it as "partial 16S ribosomal RNA". It matches the Rfam family "Bacterial small subunit ribosomal RNA", at positions 30 to 507 of the family's 1533-position model. The record is from RNAcentral.
AUUGAACGCUGGCGGCAGGCCUAACACAUGCAAGUCGAGCGGAUGAAGGGAGCUUGCUCCUGGAUUCAGCGGCGGACGGGUGAGUAAUGCCUAGGAAUCUGCCUGGUAGUGGGGGAUAACGUCCGGAAACGGGCGCUAAUACCGCAUACGUCCUGAGGGAGAAAGUGGGGGAUCUUCGGACCUCACGCUAUCAGAUGAGCCUAGGUCGGAUUAGCUAGUUGGUGGGGUAAAGGCCUACCAAGGCGACGAUCCGUAACUGGUCUGAGAGGAUGAUCAGUCACACUGGAGCUGGGACACGGUCCAGACUCCUACGGGAGGCAGCAGUGGGGAAUAUUGGACAAUGGGCGAAAGCCUGAUCCAGCCAUGCCGCGUGUGUGAAGAAGGUCUUCGGAUUGUAAAGCACUUUAAGUUGGGAGGAAGGGCAGUAAGUUAAUACCUUGCUGUUUUGACGUUACCAACAGAAUAAGCACCGGCUAACUUCGUG